AUACGUAGGGUGCAGGCGUUAAUCGGAAUUACUGGGCGUAAAGCGUGCGCAGGCGGUUUUGUUAAGACAGAGGUGAAAUCCCCGGGCUCAACCUGGGAACUGCCUUUGUGACUGCAAGGCUAGAGUGUGGCAGAGGGGGAUGGAAUUCCGCGUGUAGCAGUGAAAUGCGUAGAUAUGCGGAGGAACACCGAUGGCGAAGGCAAUCCCCUGGGCCUGCACUGACGCUCAUGCACGAAAGCGUGGGGAGC
This 248-nucleotide ribosomal RNA is filed under the name uncultured bacterium. RNAcentral describes it as "partial 16S ribosomal RNA". It matches the Rfam family "Bacterial small subunit ribosomal RNA", at positions 523 to 769 of the family's 1533-position model. The record is from RNAcentral.